Molecule: long non-coding RNA, 637 nt
Filed under: Ananas comosus (pineapple)
Lineage: Eukaryota; Viridiplantae; Streptophyta; Magnoliopsida; Poales; Bromeliaceae
Description: long non-coding RNA (ACOM_LNC017229)
Source: RNAcentral
GGAGGAACAUAUAAGUUAUUUUUAAACUGGAGAAGGAUACAUAAAUAUUUAACCUUUUAUAUAAAAGAAUGGAUAAUUGUGUAUAUAUCCUUCAAAACUUCAGAAAUAUCUGAUUUAUCCUUACUUUUUUUUUUUCUUUCCAAUAUAUUCUUCAUAUAUUCCUCCGUUACUCCAAAUACUUUCUCAGUUAUCAUCCGUUAAGUUAACUUGCAUUAAACGUGAGUUAAAAAAAAAUAAAAUUACUCUUUUGCCCUCAACUUAAAAGCAAAUAAGAAAUGUUGGUGAUGUUAGAAGGAUAUAUUUGAGAAAACCAAAAAUUAAAAUAUUUUUUGUACCCUUAACUUAAAGGCAAAUAAGAAAAAUUGUUGAAGUGUUUAUUUGAAAGGGUAAAAUAAUAAUUUAAUACAGAUAACAGCUAUUGCUAAUCGUUCAUUAAUCGAAUUUAAUUCUAGGGGUAUAUUUGAAAUAGGUUGGAAUUAACGUAAAAAGUGUAUUUUCAAUAUUAGCCUUUUAAGAAGAGUAAAUUAGAAAGUCGAAAAACUUUUUAGAAGUAUAUUGCAAAAAAAAAAAAAAAAAAGUAUUCCACAUUUUUUAGCCCUAGAUUAAAUUUUUAAAAUUUUUUUUUAAUUCUCUAUUA